This 1883-nucleotide long non-coding RNA is filed under the name Phoenix dactylifera (date palm). Its description in RNAcentral is "long non-coding RNA (PDAC_LNC010615)". The record is from RNAcentral. Lineage: Eukaryota; Viridiplantae; Streptophyta; Magnoliopsida; Arecales; Arecaceae.
UUCCCCUCAUCCCAAUCAUUUCCCCGUUCCAUGUCAUCCCAUCUUUUACGUGAUUCACCCCAGCCUCAAAACAGAACCCAUUCCCAGCCGUCCGAACCUCAGGAUUUCAUCCAAUUCCUCCCAUUCGUUAACCAAUUUAACACCCUCGUUUCUCCCACGAUGCAUGCCAAGCAAAUCAUCCUUCCCACGUUUCUAUACCAAACAAAGCCCCGUACGCAUCUUCUUCGCAUCCAGCAUCAUCCUCCCAGCAUCCCAAACAACUAAAUCCAAAGAUUUCCUUCAACCGUGAUCUUCCCUUCAUCCCAUUCAGAAUCAUUCAUUCUCUUCCCCUGUUCCGGAUCAACCUCAUCCGCAAGCCAUUCCAAGCUUCAACAGCAUCACUCCACGAUUCGCGUAGGAUCCAGCUCCAUCCUCCCACGGAUAAACCCAGCAUCCCAACCAUCUUCCUUUCCUCCCGUAUCCCAUGAACAAAUCCAAUCGAAUAAUCCGUCCUUCCCGAGCUUCACGGACCAGCAUUUCACAUCUUCCCUUCAUCUCGAUCACACCCAGCCAGCUUCCGAUCUUUUCUCCCUUCGGAACAGAGUAUUAGCUUAUCCACUACAUCCAGAUUCAUCCCAGCAUCAGCUCCGCAUUCAUCCUUAUCCUUCCCAGCCGAAUCAAGCAUCUCAGCCGAAGCCCCUGCAUCCCAAACCGACCAAUCCCAACUAGAUUCACAUCUCCCUGUUAUCAACCGUAUCCACCGAUUCUAAGCUUCAACAACGUCUUCCCCUGUUCCGAGAUUCUCCUUAUCCCACGGAUCAACCAUCAACGAUGCAUGCCAACGUCUGAUUCCUCCCGAACCAAGCCAACGGCAGCAUCUUCCGAAUCCCCUGUUCCCACUGAAUCAAGACUCAUCUGUUCCCAAGCCAUCUAGAACCAAGUCUAGAUUAGUAUCUAAAUUUUCCCUCCAUUCCGUGUUCAUCUUCCACAUCAUCCCGUUCCUUCCAGGUCCAACAAACAGGGCUCUGUUUCGGAACAGAGCUAAGAUUCUCCACAUCUUCCGCAGUCCAAACAUCUCCUCCGGAUCAGCUUCAUCCCGAAUUUCAUGGAUUAACAGCAUCCCCUCUGUUCGUAAGAUCAGCAUCAACGGCACUAUCCUUCCAAACCAAGUCUUCAUCCCGUUGUGAUCCCCUUCUUCAUUCAAAUCCCAGCAAAUCUCAGCAUCUGUGGGCGAACUUGUGUAUCCUUAUCUCAGUUCUUCCGCUCCCAGCUACCCACCUACCACCCUUAUCCCUUGCUUCAACGGAUCAGAACUGCAACAGUCCGCGGAUCAAGCUUCCCAACCAUCUGCCUCUUCCCAACGCUCGAAUCAAAUCUUCUACGCGUCGCCCGCUGCCGUGGAACAGAAGCCGUUCCUCCAUCCUCAUCUUUUCACUCGGGAAGCUUAUCCUCCGGAUGCUAAUAGAGAAUAGAGAAGCUAUAAAAGGAAGGGAGUUCUCUUCUCUGGGAUUCAUUCUUCUGUUCCAUUCUUCUUCCCCCAUCAAGCCUGGAGUGAGCCGAAUCCCAUGAAGUCAAGAGAGAGAAUAUUUUUGGGUAUUCUAGGAAUGAUUUCCCAGAAGAGCUGAGAGGGAGCCGUUUUCAGUAGAAGCUGCACCGGAAGGAGACGUCGAAGAGAUGAAGGUAGCCAUGAUGGGAGCCCGCUGCUGUGCUGCUACUGCCGUCCACCACUGCAUGGAAGCUUAAGCUCUUCUCUAGGGUCGGAUGCAGUCCUAACAAAGGGCCAAGGGUUUUGUAUUUAUUUUAUUUUUAUUCUUGGAGUUGUAUAAACUUUAUUUUGCUCCUAAUAAAUAUUUUAUUUCAUCUCAUAUUUAAUAAAGGCACCUACGUCCACUCCCCAAGCGUCC